AGAGUUUGAUCCUGGCUCAGAACGAACGCUGGCGGCAGGCUUAACACAUGCAAGUCGAGCGCCCCGCAAGGGGAGCGGCAGACGGGUGAGUAACGCGUGGGAAUCUACCCAUCUCUACGGAAUAACGCAUGGAAACGUGUGCUAAUACCGUAUACGUCCUUCGGGAGAAAGAUUUAUCGGAGAUGGAUGAGCCCGCGUUGGAUUAGCUAGUUGGUGGGGUAAAGGCCUACCAAGGCGACGGUCCAUAGCUGGUCUGAGAGGAUGAUCAGCCACACUGGGACUGAGACACGGCCCAGACUCCUACGGGGGGCAGCAGUGGGGAAUAUUGGACAAUGGGCGCAAGCCUGAUCCAGCCAUGCCGC
This 362-nucleotide ribosomal RNA is filed under the name uncultured bacterium. RNAcentral describes it as "bacterial SSU rRNA". It matches the Rfam family "Bacterial small subunit ribosomal RNA", at positions 8 to 400 of the family's 1533-position model. The record is from RNAcentral.